This 253-nucleotide ribosomal RNA is filed under the name uncultured bacterium. RNAcentral describes it as "partial 16S ribosomal RNA". It matches the Rfam family "Bacterial small subunit ribosomal RNA", at positions 524 to 776 of the family's 1533-position model. The record is from RNAcentral.
UACGGAGGGUGCAAGCGUUAAUCGGAAUGACUGGGCGUAAAGGGUGCGUAGGUGGUUAUGUAAGUUGUACUUGAAAUCAAAGGGCUCAACCUUUUGCGGAGGUACAAAACUGUGUAACUAGAGUAGAAGAGAGGGUAGUGGAAUUUCCGGUGUAGCGGUGAAAUGCGUAGAGAUCGGAAGGAACACCAGUUGCGAAGGCGGCUACCUGGCUGAAUACUGACACUGAGGCACGAAAGCGUGGGUAGCAAACAGG